GGGAGUGUAGCUCAGUGGUAAAGCAUGUGAUUACUGGAACACACAAGGACAUAGGUUCAAAUCCUGCUAUCUCUC
RNAcentral lists this transfer RNA (75 nucleotides) under Cavia porcellus (domestic guinea pig). It matches the Rfam family "tRNA". From Rfam's summary of the family: Transfer RNA (tRNA) molecules are approximately 80 nucleotides in length. Their secondary structure includes four short double-helical elements and three loops (D, anti-codon, and T loops). The record is from Rfam by way of RNAcentral. Lineage: Eukaryota; Metazoa; Chordata; Mammalia; Rodentia; Caviidae.